CGAUUUUCGGAGGCGGUUGGCGUUAGCGACCGGUAGCAGGCGGGAGGGUGGCCUUACGAGGUUUCGAGGAAGGUGACUGAGUGGUGGACCCCAGAGCGAGGCUCAUCCCAGCUUAAGGACGAGGGGCACCGAGGACCCGGGCCAGGCCUGCGGGCCGCCAGCCUCAGCGAGGACUGUCGUUGGGCCUGGCCGCGUCCCGCGCGGCUGCGCUGUGUCCUGGGCUGUUCUCUUGUCAGCACUACCGCUAGUCAGAGCUGAGUGGUCAAUUCUACAUAUCCAGCAACAUGAUGCAUUCUUCUUCAUUUCUGUUGAAAUAUAACUUCAUGUGA
Long non-coding RNA from Cynocephalus volans (Philippine flying lemur), 329 nucleotides. RefSeq lists it as uncharacterized. Lineage: Eukaryota; Metazoa; Chordata; Mammalia; Dermoptera; Cynocephalidae. The transcript has 3 exons. The record is from RefSeq and is a predicted model, not a curated record.